AGAAAAGAAAAGGGCCAGAGGACUGGAGGGGUUGCUGCCUGUCCCCUGGAGGAGCCCUGCAGUGCAUCGGGCCACAGCCUGUUUUCUUUCUACCCAGGAGAGUUUGGGGAAGUGUAUCGAGGGACCCUGAGGCUCCCCAGCCAGGACUGCAAGACUGUGGCCAUUAAGACCUUAAAAGACACAUCCCCAGGUGGCCAGUGGUGGAACUUCCUUCGAGAGGCAACUAUCAUGGGCCAGUUUAGCCACCCGCAUAUUCUGCAUCUGGAAGGUGUCGUCACAAAGCGAAAGCCGAUCAUGAUCAUCACAGAAUUUAUGGAGAAUGGAGCCCUGGAUGCCUUCCUGAGGGAGCGGGAGGACCAGCUGGUCCCUGGGCAGCUAGUGGCCAUGCUGCAGGGCAUAGCAUCUGGCAUGAACUACCUCAGUAAUCACAAUUAUGUCCACCGGGACCUGGCUGCCAGAAACAUCUUGGUGACUCAAAACCUGUGCUGCAAGGUGUCUGACUUUGGCCUGACUCGCCUCCUGGAUGACUUUGAUGGCACAUACGAAACCCAGGGAGGAAAGAUCCCUAUCCGUUGGACAGCCCCUGAAGCCAUUGCCCAUCGGAUCUUCACCACAGCCAGCGAUGUGUGGAGCUUUGGGAUUGUGAUGUGGGAGGUGCUGAGCUUUGGGGACAAGCCUUAUGGGGA
This 686-nucleotide small RNA is filed under the name Pan troglodytes (chimpanzee). RNAcentral describes it as "retained intron". Lineage: Eukaryota; Metazoa; Chordata; Mammalia; Primates; Hominidae. The record is from RNAcentral.